UACGUAGGGGGCGAGCGUUGUCCGGAGUUACUGGGCGUAAAGGGCAUGCAGGCGGUGGCGCGCGUUUUGUGUGACAGCGGGUGGCUUAACUACCCGAGCAUGCGAAAGACGGCGGCACUUGAGAGCUCGAGAGGGACACGGAAUUCCGGGUGGAGUGGUGAAAUGCGUAGAGAUCCGGAGGAACACCGAAGGCGAAGGCAGUGUCCUGGCGAGCGACUGACGCUGAGGUGCGAAA
Molecule: ribosomal RNA, 235 nt
Filed under: uncultured prokaryote
Description: partial 16S ribosomal RNA
Rfam family: Bacterial small subunit ribosomal RNA
Source: RNAcentral